GAUCCUGGCUCAGGAUGAACGCUGGCGGCGUGCUUAACACAUGCAAGUCGAACGGUGAAGCCUGCUAUUUAUAGUGGGUGGAUCAGUGGCGGACUGGUGAGUAACACGUAGGUGACCUGCCCCAAAGAGGAGAAUAACUUGACGAAAGUGAAGCUAAUACUCCAUGUGGUCAAUCAUUCGGUUGAUUGAUUAAAGCUAAGGCGCUUUGGGAGGGGCUUGCGGCCCAUCAGCUAGUUGGUAGGGUAAAGGCCUACCAAGGCGAAGACGGGUAGCUGGUCUGAGAGGACGAUCAGCCACAAUGGCACUGAAACACGGGCCAUACUCCUACGGGAGGCAGCAGUGAGGAAUAUUGCACAAUCGACGCAAGUCGGAUGCAGCAACGCCGCGUGGACGAUGAAGGCCUUCGGGUUGUAAAGUCCUUUUAAGAGGGACGAGGAAGGACGGUACCUCUUGAAUAAGUCUCGGCUAACUACGUGCCAGCAGCCGCGGUAACACGUAGGAAGCGAGCGUUAUCCGGAUUUAUUGGGCGUAAAGCGCAUGCAGGUGGCUAGGUAAGUCGGGUGUGAAAGCCCCGGACUUAAUCCGGGGAGGUCAUUCGAUACUGCUUGGCUCGAGAGCGGGAGAGGGAAGUGGAAUUCUCGGUGUAGUGGUGAUAUGCGUAGAUAUCGAGAGGAACACCAGUGGCGAAGGCGGCUUCCUGGCCCGUAUCUGACACUAAGAUGCGAAAGCGUGGGUAGCAAACGGACUUAGAUACUCCGGUAGUCCACGCUGUAAACGAUGGGUACUAGGUGUAGGGGGUGUAAAACUCUCUGUGCCAUAGUUAACGCACUAAGUACCCCGCCUGGGGACUACGGUCGCAAGGCUAAAACUCAAAGGAAUUGACGGGGGCCCGCACAAGCAGCGGAGCGUGUGGUUUAAUUCGAGGCUGCGCGAAGAACCUUACCUGGGCUUGACAUGAUAGUGGUACCCGGGUGGAAACAUCGGGGGACCUUCGGGAGCUAUCACAGGUGCUGCAUGGCUGUCGUCAGCUCGUGCCGUGAGGUGUUCGGUUAAGUCCAAAAACGAGCGCAACCCCUGGCGUUAGUUACAAGUGUCUAACGCGACUGCCCGGGGAAACUGGGAGGAAGGUGGGGAUGACGUCAAGUCAGCAUGGCCUUUAUGUCCAGGGCGACACACACGCUACAAUGGCCGGUACAAUAGGCAGCCAAGCCGCGAGGUGGAGCGAAUCCAACAAAACCGGUCUCAGUUCAGAUUGUAGGCUGCAACUCGCCUGCAUGAAGUCGGAGUUGCUAGUAAACGCGGAUCAGCCACGCCGCGUGAAUACGUCCCGGGCCUUGUA
Molecule: ribosomal RNA, 1339 nt
Filed under: uncultured Chloroflexota bacterium
Lineage: Bacteria; Bacillati; Chloroflexota
Description: bacterial SSU rRNA
Rfam family: Bacterial small subunit ribosomal RNA
Source: RNAcentral